CGAAUGCAGAUUCGGAGUUGAAGUGGAACUAUCGCACUGCUAGCGAACAUCCCCCAGCAACCGUCACCAGGCCGGGUAGCAAUCAAGUAGUCCACGAUCCCUUCACCAUCUCCCGGACCCAUGCCAGCAGUAGUAUUGUGUUUGAUUUCCGAAGCGGAAGUUGUGUGACAGCUGGAACUUAGCGAAGCGUUGCUUUUCCGCAUUGUUUUGUCAACAGCCGCCAACGUGACUGGUACGGGGGCUCGCGUGGUCUGGUGAGAUAUUGCCAGCGGUAAGCGGAUUGUGCCAUCGUGCGCACUAAUACGGUUCGUGACGGAUGAGCAUCACAACUGCAUGCGGCGGCGGCGGCGCGCCCUGUGUGACAAUUAUCUGUCCCAAAAGGAUGCGAUCCUUGCUCUCACCCCGUCCGAAUCAUCCCUAUCUGUCGAGCCCUGGUCUGGAUAGUGCAUAGGACGGAGCCUUCGGGACCAUUCGUCGGCCUCUGGUGGUGUCUGGGAUUUAAUCCACUUAUAACGCUACCUCUUUCCAGCCGACCGGCUUAGGCUUACGAUGCACAGCCGGAUGGUGAAAGUUGUUUGGUUUAUUAAGGAUUUGCUGGAGCGAAACAAGCACAAGAGGGUCUGUGAAGUCCAUACAGAAAGGUUCUUUCAACAAUCGAACUCAACGUAUGCGAUUAUACACACUCCAAUAGCAAUACGGUACUAGAAAAGUCGAACACACCCGGUUUCGGCCUUUUAGGUUUGCGGGAUAUAAAUUGUUCGUCCUUUGCGUCGUGCACUCGACUCGCGGGGGGGGGGGGGGAGUGAAAUCAUGCA
Long non-coding RNA from Anopheles merus, 815 nucleotides. RefSeq lists it as uncharacterized. Lineage: Eukaryota; Metazoa; Arthropoda; Insecta; Diptera; Culicidae. The transcript has 3 exons. The record is from RefSeq and is a predicted model, not a curated record.